UACGGGGGGGGCAAGCGUUGUUCGGAAUUACUGGGCGUAAAGGGCCAGUAGGCGGCCAACUAAGUCACACGUGAAAUCCCCGGGCUUAACCCGGGAACUGCGUGUGAUACUGGAUGGCUUGAAUUCGGGAGAGGGAUGCAGAAUUCCAGGUGUAGCGGUGAAAUGCGUAGAUAUCUGGAGGAAUACCGGUGGCGAAGGCGGCAUCCUGGACCGACAUUGACGCUGAACGGCGAAAGCUAGGGGAGCAAACGGG
RNAcentral lists this ribosomal RNA (253 nucleotides) under uncultured bacterium. Its description in RNAcentral is "partial 16S ribosomal RNA". It matches the Rfam family "Bacterial small subunit ribosomal RNA", at positions 524 to 776 of the family's 1533-position model. The record is from RNAcentral.